UGAUAGAAAUUUAAACACUUUUUAAAGUAUCAAUUGGAGGGCAAGUCUGGUGCCAGCAGCCGCGGUAAUUCCAGCUCCAAUAGCGUAUAUUAAAAUUGUUGCAGUUAAAAAGCUCGUAGUUGAAUUUCUGUUAAAAAUAACCGGUCUGCUUUUAUUAAAAGUGGUAUCUUGGUGUGUUUUUAGCAAUAAUGUCCUUUGAAAUGUUUUUUACUUUAUUGUAAUAAGUCAUUAUUUUGAGGAUUUUUACUUUGAGAAAAUUAGAGUGUUUCUAGCAGGCUUACGCUUUUGAAUACUGCAGCAUGGAAUAAUAAGAUAGGAUUUUAGUUCUACAUUAUUGGUUUUAAGAACUAAAUUAAUGAUUGAUAGGGAUAGUUGGGGGCAUUUGUAUUUAACUGUCAGAGGUGAAAUUCUUAGAUUUGUUAAAGACAAACUACUGCGAAAGCAUUUGCCAAAGAUGUUUUCAUUAAUCAAGAACGAAAGUUAGGGGAUCGAAG
RNAcentral lists this ribosomal RNA (494 nucleotides) under Hepatozoon sp. LAS-2012. Its description in RNAcentral is "bacterial SSU rRNA". It matches the Rfam family "Eukaryotic small subunit ribosomal RNA", at positions 515 to 1003 of the family's 1831-position model. Lineage: Eukaryota; Apicomplexa; Hepatozoidae. The record is from RNAcentral.